CCUACGGGAGGCAGCAGUGAGGAAUAUUGGUCAAUGGCCGAGAGGCUGAACCAGCCAAGUCGCGUGAGGGAUGACGGCCCUACGGGUUGUAAACCUCUUUUGUCGGGGAGCAAAGAGAGUCACGUGUGGCUCAUUGAGAGUACCCGAAGAAAAAGCAUCGGCUAACUCCGUGCCAGCAGCCGCGGUAAUACGUAGGGGGCAAGCGUUGUUCGGAAUGACUGGGCGUAAAGGGUGUGUAGGUGGUUUGAUAAGUUAGAUGUGUAAUACCCAGGGCUUAACUCGGGUGCUGCAUCUAAAACUGUUAGACUUGAGUACUGGAGAGGAUAGUGGAAUUCCUAGUGUAGCGGUGGAAUGCGUAGAUAUUAGGAGGAACAUCAGUGGCGAAGGCGACUAUCUGGACAGCAACUGACACUGAGGCACGAAAGCGUGGGGAGCAAACAGGAUUAGAUACCCGGGUAGUC
Molecule: ribosomal RNA, 461 nt
Filed under: uncultured bacterium
Lineage: Bacteria
Description: partial 16S ribosomal RNA
Rfam family: Bacterial small subunit ribosomal RNA
Source: RNAcentral